GGGUUGACUUGCUCAGAAGAUUUGUCAGUCGAGCGGUAACAGAUCUAGCUUGCUAGACGCUGUAGAGCGGCGGACGGGUGAGUAACGCGUGGGAAUCUACCCAGUAGCGGGGGAUAACUUGGGGAAACCCAAGCUAAUACCGCAUACGCCCUACGGGGGAAAGCGGGGGCCUAUUCGCACUAUUGGAUGAGCCUAUGUCGGAUUAGCUUGUUGGUGGGGUAAUGGCCUACCAAGGCGACGAUCAGUAGCUGGUCUGAGAGGAUGACCAGCCACACUGGGACUGAGACACGGCCCAGACUCCUACGGGAGGCAGCAGUGGGGAAUAUUGGACAAUGGGCGCAAGCCUGAUCCAGCCAUGCCGCGUGUGUGAAGAAGGCCUUCGGGUUGUAAAGCACUUUCAGCGAGGAGGAAGGGGUGUUGCUUAAUACGUAACAUUUUUGACGUUACUCGCAGAAGAAGGACCGGCUAACUCCGUGCCAGCAGCCGCGGUAAUACGGAGGGUCCGAGCGUUAAUCGGAAUUACUGGGCGUAAAGCGCGCGUAGGCGGUUAGAUCAGUCAGAUGUGAAAGCCCUGGGCUCAACCUGGGAACUGCGUCUGAUACUGUCUAACUAGAGUUUGGUAGAGGAGUGUGGAAUUUCCUGUGUAGCGGUGAAAUGCGUAGAUAUAGGAAGGAACACCAGUGGCGAAGGCGACACUCUGGACCAAAACUGACGCUGAGGUGCGAAAGCGUGGGGAGCAAAACAGGAUUAGAUACCCUGGUAGUCCACGCCGUAAACGAUGUCUACUAGCCGUUGGGAGACUUGAUCUCUUAGUGGCGCAGCUAACGCGAUAAGUAGACCGCCUGGGGAGUACGGUCGCAAGAUUAAAACUCAAAUGAAUUGACGGGGGCCCGCACAAGCGGUGGAGCAUGUGGUUUAAUUCGAAGCAACGCGAAGAACCUUACCCGCUCUUGACAUCCAGUGAACUUUCUAGAGAUAGAUUGGUGCCUUCGGGAACACUGAGACAGGUGCUGCAUGGCUGUCGUCAGCUCGUGUUGUGAAAUGUUGGGUUAAGUCCCGUAACGAGCGCAACCCUUGUCCUUAUUUGCCAGCACGUAAUGGUGGGAACUCUAAGGAGACUGCCGGUGACAAACCGGAGGAAGGUGGGGACGACGUCAAGUCAUCAUGGCCCUUACGAGCGGGGCUACACACGUGCUACAAUGGCCAGGACAAACGGUUGCAACCCCGCGAGGGUGAGCUAAUCUGAGAAACCUGGUCGUAGUCCGGAUCGCAGUCUGCAACUCGACUGCGUGAAGUCGGAAUCGCUAGUAAUCGUGACAUUGAAUGUCACGGUGAAUACGUUCCCGGGCUUUGUAUACACCGCCUGUCACUCCAUGGGAGUGGAUUGCACCAGAAGUAGCUAGCUUAACCUUCGGGAGGGCGGUUACCACGGUGUGGUUCAUGACUGGGGUGAAGUCGUAACAAGGUAGCCCUAG
RNAcentral lists this ribosomal RNA (1475 nucleotides) under uncultured prokaryote. RNAcentral's name for it is "partial 16S ribosomal RNA". It matches the Rfam family "Bacterial small subunit ribosomal RNA". The record is from RNAcentral.